This 812-nucleotide ribosomal RNA is filed under the name Magnaporthaceae sp. RNAcentral's name for it is "partial large subunit ribosomal RNA". It matches the Rfam family "Eukaryotic large subunit ribosomal RNA", at positions 71 to 913 of the family's 3401-position model. The record is from RNAcentral. Lineage: Eukaryota; Fungi; Ascomycota; Sordariomycetes; Magnaporthales; Magnaporthaceae.
GGGAUUGCCCUAGUAACGGCGAGUGAAGCGGCAACAGCUCAAAUUUGAAAUCUGGCCCUAGGCCCGAGUUGUAAUUUGCAGAGGAUGCUUUUGGCGAAGUGCUUACCGAGUCCCCUGGAAUGGGGCGCCACAGAGGGUGAGAGCCCCGUAUGGUUUGCCACUGAACCUUUGUAAAGCUCCUUCGACGAGUCGAGUAGUUUGGGAAUGCUGCUCUAAAUGGGAGGUAAAUUUCUUCUAAAGCUAAAUACCGGCCAGAGACCGAUAGCGCACAAGUAGAGUGAUCGAAAGAUGAAAAGCACUUUGAAAAGAGGGUUAAAUAGCACGUGAAAUUGUUGAAAGGGAAGCGCUCGUGGCCAGACUUGCGCCGGGCGGAUCAUCCAGCGUUCUCGCUGGUGCACUCCGCCCGGCUCAGGCCAGCAUCGGUUUUCGCCGGGGGACAAAGGCUUCGGGAACGUAGCUCCCUUCGGGGAGUGUUAUAGCCCGUUGCGUAAUACCCCGGCGGGGACCGAGGACCGCGCUUCGGCAAGGAUGCUGGCGUAAUGGUCAUCAGCGACCCGUCUUGAAACACGGACCGAGGAGUCAAGCAUUAGUGCGAGUGUUUGGGUGUAAAACCCGCACGCGUAAUGAAAGUGAACGUAGGUGAGAGCUUCGGCGCAUCAUCGACCGAUCCUGAUGUUUUCGGAUGGAUUUGAGUAGGAGCAUUAACGCUUGGACCCGAAAGAUGGUGAACUAUACUUGAAUAGGGUGAAGCCAGAGGAAACUCUGGUGGAGGCUCGCAGCGGUUCUGACGUGCAAAUCGAUCGUCAAAUUUG